AGCAGCCGCGGUAAUUCCAGCUCCAAUAGCGUAUAUUAAAGUUGUUGCAGUUAAAAAGCUCGUAGUUGAAUUUCGGGAUCAAUACGUCGGUCUUGCUUCGGUACGUACUGGCGUCAUUGAUUUCUCCCUUCUGACGAACCAUGGUGUCAUUAAUUUGGUGUUAUGGGAAAUCAGGACUGUUACUUUGAAAAAUUAGAGUGUUUAAAGCAGGCUCACGCUUGAAUACAUUAGCAUGGAAUAAUGAAAUAGGACGUUCGAUCCUAUUUUGUUGGUUUUAGGAUCAACGUAAUGAUUAAUAGGGAUAGUUGGGGGCAUUAGUAUUCAAUUGUCAGAGGUGAAAUUCUUGGAUUUAUUGAAGACUAACUACUGCGAAAGCAUUUGCCAAGGAUGUUUUCAUUAAUCAAGAACGAAAGUUAGGGGAUCGAAGACGAUCAGAUACCGUCGUAGUCUUAACCAUAAACUAUGCCGACUAGGGAUCGGAUGAUGUUAAUUUUUUAAUGUACUCAUUCGGCGCCUUACG
This 520-nucleotide ribosomal RNA is filed under the name uncultured Glomus. Its description in RNAcentral is "SSU rRNA". It matches the Rfam family "Eukaryotic small subunit ribosomal RNA", at positions 569 to 1092 of the family's 1831-position model. Lineage: Eukaryota; Fungi; Glomeromycota; Glomeromycetes; Glomerales; Glomeraceae. The record is from RNAcentral.